Long non-coding RNA from Cannabis sativa, 1405 nucleotides. RefSeq lists it as uncharacterized. NCBI's taxonomy places the organism in Eukaryota, Viridiplantae, Streptophyta, Magnoliopsida, Rosales, Cannabaceae. The record is from RefSeq and is a predicted model, not a curated record. The transcript has 2 exons.
AAUUAUUUGUUAUACCAACACACUUAAAAAAGGCAAAUAAUACAAUAGUAUGCAAAAGUGAUAUUUUUAAAAACUAACACAAAUUCCAAAUGUAUGUUUCAGGGCCCAAAGUUCAAAGCUCAUCAAUCAAGUCUUACAAUUAAAACAAGAUAAUACAAAUUUCAAGGGAACCAUUCAAUGGUUCGGUCAACACCAAUCAACCCAAGAAAGAAUAAAGUUUCUCUCUCCAAUCAAACCUUUUCACACUUUGAUAUUCAAUUGCUACGGCCCAAUAGUGACUCUCUCUCUAUUACUUAUCAAUCCGGCCCAAGAAAAGGAAUCAGCCCACUAAAAUGCAACCCUAAUAUCUAAUAUAAAAGGUAUAUUAUCUCAAACCCUAAAUCUACUUCUUCACUUAUUCGGCAGCCACAAAGAAUUCAAAAUCUUUCAAAAACUCUUCUCUCUCUCUUAUGGCAGAACACAAAGCAAGAUUUUAGGGUUAGGGUUUCAUAUUUCUUUUCUCUUCUUCUUCUUUACAGCCGCACCUAAUAUUAGGGUUUCUUUAAGCUCUCAUCUUCUUCAUAUCACUCUCAUGGCAGCUAGGGUUAUGGGGUUCUAAUGGGUUCUCUUGUCUUCUCAUUCUACAGAACACGAAUUGGGUUUCUAGUGUUCUUAUAUUUUCUUUUCUUCCUUUAAACUUGCUACAGCCGAAAUAUUCUAGGGUUAGGGUUCUUACAAGCUCUUUUAUUUUUCUCUUUUAAUGGCAGCAAAGAAAUUAGGGUUUUCUAGAUUUCUCUUUUCUUCUCUUUCUUUACACAGCCACGGGUUAGGGUUCAAAGGGGGUAUUUUAUUUUUCUUUUCUUGUUCUAAAUGGCAGCAAAGAAAAAUAGGGUUUUCUAGGUUUUUCUUAUUUCUUCUUGCUAUAUUUUCUACCCGAAAAUACAAACCCAAAAAACCACACAACCAUUCUUCAACUUUCGGCCAAAACAAUACACACCCGAAAACUCAAGAACAUAAACACAUACACAAAUACAAAUACCAGAAAAGUAAUAAGAGUGAGAUGAGAGAAUGCAAACAGUGAUUAAGAAGAUGACACCAAAACUUUGAUCUCGGAGUUCGCCCAAAACAACCGGCUACUUCUCCGUCAAGCCCUCAGCUUGAUUCCACUAAUCAUCAAACAAAGGAGGAGCUCACAUGGAUAUGACAACUCAAAGCCAAAAGGCUCUCUUUUACUUUGUUGUUAUUUCUGAUGUUGCUCUCUAUUGUUGUAUCUCUCUGGCUGUGACUCUUUAUUUUGCUCUGUAUAUUAUUUCUUAUUGUAUCUGAGAAAAGCACCUCCUUUUAUAUAUUGUUCUGUGAUCUGAUCUAGGGCAGAGCCCUAGUGAUAUUUGUAACUGUUUUUAUAACUGCUUUAGUUGUAACUGUC